Molecule: long non-coding RNA, 3178 nt
Organism: Papaver somniferum (opium poppy)
Lineage: Eukaryota; Viridiplantae; Streptophyta; Magnoliopsida; Ranunculales; Papaveraceae
Exons: 3
Source: RefSeq, a predicted model, not a curated record
ACAUUGAAAGAGAAGUUGGAGUUGAAAUAGUAGUACUUGCCCAGCCUCUUGUACAUCCUCCUGCCCAGCCUCUUGCACAUCCUCUUUUACUCACAUGGCGGUCCUAUGUGACAAGAAAAAUAACCGACUAAAUUGGAUAUUUUCAAUUCCUUUGGUUCUUGUUGUAAUUAAGAGGAUCAAUGUUAUUUUCAACUCGAGAUCUCAAAAGUUCUGAGUACUAGUCCUGCUCUCUCUCUCUCCUCUCUCUGCUCUCUCUUCUCUCUCUGGGAUAUGGAGUAAUCCUCUAAAUACCUGGUUUUUCCCAAGUUUCCCUAAGUAUGCAGCAUAUCAGUUAUGACACUUGAUUAUGGAAAGAGCGGAGGAUAGUGGUGAAGAUGCGGUAAUUUCUAAUAACCAUAAAAUCUUCCUUCUCCCCUUCCCCUUCUUCGUCUCGCUUCUUCUUUGGUUCUUCAAUAUGGAUUGUCAAGAUACGUGCGGAAUCCAUCAUCCUUGUCUUGCUCCAAAAAUGCUCUAGUGGAUCCAACAUAAGGGAUUAUAGCACUAUGAGGACCGGGUACAAAGUUGGAGGCUUCCCUUUCGAUCUGUCUCUGGUAAAAUUCAUUAAUCUUUCUUUCUAUCUCUUCCAGUGGAUAUAGGCAAUGACAUCGUUUCCUGGCCGGUGAAGUCAUAUGGAGAACGAGAAAUUUUCUUUUAGCCAUUCUUUAGGAGUGAACAGAUGUUUUUAGCGUUUCAGAGGAUGAUUGAGAUGAAAUUGGCUGUUGUGGGAAUGAGAUUUAUAGGAAAAUAGGGGAAUCUGUAGCGCUUCUUAGUCAUGAUUCGUGCAUGUAGUGGGUUCUCUUUUCUAUUUUAGCCAUUAAAGCAUUCAAAUACAUUCAGAAUUCUAAGAGUCCUUAAGAUACAAGAUUCCGUGGUGCUGAUCAAUUGCUUUGACUAGAGGGAAUUUAAUCAUUUUGGGGGUUAGCCUUUCUAAACAUCGUUUUAUUAAGGAUAGUAACAACGGUUAACAAGAAGAAAAAGGGUCUUGUUAACUUGUAUACCCGUAUACAUGUUAAGGUUCAUUAAAAUAAUAAGGGUCUUGUUAACUUGUAUACCCGUAUACAUGUUAAGGUUCAUUAAAACAAUAGUUUCUUGCAUUGGAAACAAGAUUUGUUUGUUUUAUUACAUUGAAAACAGUAAUUCUUUGCAUUGGGAACAAAAAAUGUUGUUUUUAGUACAAGAAAAACCAAUUUUUAGUAGAAUAAGACAAAAAAAAAACACAAUUUUCAAAGAAAUAAAACAAUUCUUUAUUAAACCUUAACAUAUAUACGGGUAUACAAGUUAACAAAAGCCCCUAAAUAGAAUACCGAGUAUUUAGACUCUUUCCUCUUUAAUUUAUCUAUAUGUAUACGUAUUCGUACUUUAAGUAAAAUUUGUAGUAGAUACCUUAGAUCCUUUUAAUUAUUAUCAAGGACCUAAAUGAUAUUUUCAUAAACUUUAUCAUCUUCUCAAUGACAAAACGCUUUUAGUACCAGAGAGAAGUUAGGGUUUUAAGAUUUCCACCGACGGAUUAUCGAACAAGAAUUACUCACUAAUUUCAUGAGCUUAUUAAAGUUUCUCGAUCGAAAAAUAGUUGGUGGUGAACUGAGAAGAAAAUUGACUUUGUUGGUGAACUUGGAAAGACGAACAAGAACCAAGGGGCAAUGGAUUGAGGAUUGUGUAUAUCACCGGUCAUUCGAUGCACAUGUGAUCAUUCCUAAGUAGGGAUUUCAUUAGUUGGAAAGGAUUCAAUACCAAGGAGCAUGGAGGUUUGGGUUUUUUUGAUCUCUGGAGAUUCUCAACAGGGCAAUGGUUGCUCAACUAGGUUGGUGUUUACUUACUGAUCCAGUGAUCCUGACACUUUAUGGGUAUACUUACUGAAGGCCAAAUACCUUAUAAGUAGACCAUUUGGGGAUGUUCAGAAUACGUCGGUUGCAUCGAGUACAUGGCGAGCAAUUCUGACAUUAAAGAAGGCUAUGUAUAUGGUCUUUAAGCAAAGUAUGAUGUGAAUAUCAUGGAUCCCAACCAUUUCAUCUUUUGCACCUACCCUGCAAGAAGCUUAGCAUGUGGAAUACUCAACUAUUGCUAACUGUUAAUGCCAACUUCUGGAGGCUGGAAUUCUUAGUAGCUAAACACCUUGUUCUGUAGACAAACAAUGCAAGAGAUCCACAUUCCAGUGACUGGUAGGAAGACAGGCUCAUUUGGAUGCUUACAAAGAUGGGGUAAUUUAGCUCAGAGUCAUUUGGAAGAUUCCUGGAAGAUGAGUCUGGACAUGCUGCAUCAAAUCUGCUAUCCUUAUUCGCUGGAAAAAACUGUGGCAGGUAAGAACUAAUGCACCUUAGGUAAAGAAUAAUCAUUUGGCGAAUAAUACAUGAAGGACAAGGAUGUAGGGACCUGAUUAAGAGAAUCAUCCUAGAGGUUGAACCUUAUGUUAUUAUGGAGACAAGGAAGAGACAGUUGAACAUUUAUUCCUGCACAACCCCAGAAUAAACGUUAUUUUAUUCGCAUCAGCAUUGAACUUUAGAGUGGAUGAAACUUCAGUAAACUCUAUCAGAGAUGUUACUGCAAGAUGGAAUGGGAAAGAUGCAAGACCUUUUGCUAUGGUGCCAAUCUCCUCUGGUGGUCUGGAAGUCGGGAGACAAAUUGAUAUUUGAGCAGCAAUCAACCACAGUUGAAGCGGUACUGCAAGCUUCAUUCUUAAUCUAUAUCUAUAACAAAGAUGAGGUGCAAGGUGUUCAACCUGAGGUUGAGGUCACCCCUGGGACACCUGCUACCUGGAGCCUACCAGCUGGAGAUGUGAUUAAGAUUAGUUUUGGUGGAACAGUUCAACGGUUUUUGCUAGAGAUAAGGAGGCAAAUUUUGAGGAACUGAUCAUCGAAGGGGAUUGAUUGUAAGCAGUUAAUCGAUGUUCUAAACAAGCACAACACUUUCAUUCCCUAGAAGAUCAGACGUUUGGUAGAAGAGAAUGAAGUUUGCUCUCAACAACUAAAUCAUUUGCAGUUCAAUUACAUGGAACAAGAUGCCAACUAUGUGGCGCAUAUUCUCGCAAAGGUGACUCUGGAUUAACAGGACUGGUAAACUUCUCCAAAUCCUCCCCGCUUCAUUUUUUUUUUUUUUUUGCUUGAUAAUUCUCAAAAUUUAUUAAACUCAAAGUUAUUACAGA